This 253-nucleotide ribosomal RNA is filed under the name uncultured bacterium. RNAcentral describes it as "partial 16S ribosomal RNA". It matches the Rfam family "Bacterial small subunit ribosomal RNA", at positions 524 to 776 of the family's 1533-position model. The record is from RNAcentral.
UACGGAGGGGGCUAGCGUUAUUCGGAAUUAUUGGGCGUAAAGGGCGCGUAGGCGGCCCGGUAAGUCAAAGGUGAAAGCCCUGGGCUCAACCUGGGAAUUGCAUUGGAUACUGGCAGGCUAGAGUGCGGUAGAGGAUGGCGGAAUUCCCGGUGUAGCAGUGAAAUGCGUAGAGAUCGGGAGGAACAUCUGUGGCGAAGGCGGCCAUCUGGACCAGCACUGACACUGAGGCACGAAAGCGUGGGGAGCAAACAGG